CUUGAAAAAUAAAAAUUUGAGAGUUGAGAGUUGAAUUGGACUCGGAUUUGAAAAGAAAACACAUAUAUGGACUGGUGGUGUUAUAGGUAGUCAGGAUCUAUCCUUGGACCAGGGUUUUGAUCGGGCGAGCCCGGGAUUGACUUUUGUUGAUUUUUGGUGAAUUGUGUAAGAUCAUAGCUUUAUUUAUCGUAAUUGGUUUGUCUUGCAUUGUUUGAUGUUAUUAAGUCAUUUUUGGUUAGAUUUGAGCCGUGCAGAGGUAAAUUUUAGGGGAAAGCUAUUUUUAGGGUUGAUUUGCUUAAUUGAGGUAAGUAUCUUGUCUAACUUUGUAUGGGGAACUACCCUUUAAGAUUUGGGUUAAUUAUGUUAUUUGAAUUAUGUGGAAGACGUGUACAUGAGGUGACGACUGUGUUCAAAGUAUUAUAUGUAGUAUUUUGACCGGUUUAGACUCUUAGGAUCUUUCAUGCAUUUAAUUGGUAUUGUCAUACCAUGCUAUAUCUUCCAUUGUUAAAUUACUCUUACAUGCUUUACUUGAUGUUUUUAACACAUGUCCUUUAUUUUAUUGUCAAACUUGCUCUUAUAUCCCUUAAUUGACGUUAUUACCUCUCUUAUUAUCAUGUGCCUCUUUUAUUCCACGAUGUCUCUUUGUGUUGAACUAUUCUUAUCAAUUUAGACGUAGUUAGUUCAUAUUAUCUCUUUCAUCUUAAGCUUAUGUUACACAUUUAAAUUAGAAAUUGUCAUUUUGUAGGAAUACCUUCAUUUUGAGUUAUUGAAGUUGAAGUCGUAAAGGCUAUUAACACCUUGAGGUUGAAGUUGUUGAUUAUUGAGAUAUUUUUUCUUUUUGAGUAUUUCUCCUUCAUUUGUUAUUUUGAGAUUCGUGUACACAUUAUGGUUGAGUCGUGGACUAUAUGUUUUGGUAACAUUGGUAUUGUGAUUUUUGCAAUGUUGUGGCAUUCGAGUACGUGUGGUGUGAGUUGAUUAUUGUGUUGUGUUAUCGAUGCGCAUGCGGCGGUAUAAGGAUAAGGGUUAAUAUGCAUGCAUCGAGAUAAGGUGGGAUUUAUUUUCGUGUUACUAGUAAGGGAAUUACUUGAAGCCACGCGGCGAGAUAAUGGGGGCUAAAGCGAGUGUAACUAUUUUGGAAAAAUAUUUUCAAAAAUACAAAUGCAAGGUUCACGUGGCGAUACAAAGAAGAUUGUGAUUCAGACUCGUGAAAUGUGAAUAUGAGGCGUGGUACCUCGAUCAAGGUACAUCUGCUCGUGUCUAACACUAGUGAUUGAUCAAUUAUCUCGGAAACUUCAAGAUGAUGAUGAUACGCACUGCUGGAUCCGAUGAUCAUACACCCGUGCUAGAGCCACGAGAGGCCAGGGACGGGGUAGAGGCCGAGGAGGGGAACAUGGUGCAGCUAGAGAACCUGCUCGAGCAGCGACUAAGGAGCCACUAGUAGCAUUGAUUGGGGGACAGGCACCCAAGGCGCCUGUUAUCACCCCUGCCCUUCAGGAGACCCUAGCACACGUUUUGAGCAUGUUCGGUACUCUAGCCUUGGCAGGAUUGAUCAGGCCCCUGGAGUUAUGCCAGUGCAGCUUGUUUUUACGGUUCAACCCGAGGUCAAGGCAGAGGCAUCUGAGGAGGAGCAGCUGAGACUUAAGAGGUUCAAGAAGUAUCACCCUUAUACUUACAAUUGUAUAGUUAUUGAGGAUGUGUAGGGUUUUUUGGAUAAGCGCCACCGUAUUCCCCGCACCAUUGAUAUUAUAUUGUGGAGACAAGCGCAGUUGCCUUUAA
Molecule: long non-coding RNA, 1776 nt
Organism: Nicotiana tabacum (common tobacco)
Lineage: Eukaryota; Viridiplantae; Streptophyta; Magnoliopsida; Solanales; Solanaceae
Source: RefSeq, a predicted model, not a curated record